CCCUCACAGCCAAGGAUCCCUCACUCCAGCUUUUCCUCAGCCCAGGAUUCCCCAUUCCUGCUUUUCCUGGAUCCAUGGGAUCCUCACAGCCCAGGAAUUCCCAGGAUGGUUUGCACUGCCCAGAGCACAUCCAGGUUUCAUUUUGGCGCUUCAGGAGCGAUUCCCCGUCUCCUUCUCUCCCUCCUUCCCUUUUAUUUUAAAAAACAAUAUUUACAAAGCCACGGAAAUGAAGCAAGAUUACCUCGUUAGCUGGAAUGGGGAUCAUUACCAUAUUUUAUGAAUAUUCAUGGCAUUUUUCACCUCCUACCUUUACAAAUAUUUGCAUUUCGAGGCAGUCUCGCUUUAAAAUUCAGAAAAAUCCGACAAAACCAA
Molecule: long non-coding RNA, 372 nt
Organism: Haemorhous mexicanus (house finch)
Lineage: Eukaryota; Metazoa; Chordata; Aves; Passeriformes; Fringillidae
Exons: 2
Source: RefSeq, a predicted model, not a curated record